RNAcentral lists this ribosomal RNA (253 nucleotides) under uncultured bacterium. Its description in RNAcentral is "partial 16S ribosomal RNA". It matches the Rfam family "Bacterial small subunit ribosomal RNA", at positions 524 to 776 of the family's 1533-position model. The record is from RNAcentral.
UACGUAGGGUGCAAGCGUUGUCCGGAAUUAUUGGGCGUAAAGAGCUCGUAGGCGGCUUGUCGCGUCGGCUGUGAAAACUCGGGGCUCAACCCCGAGCCUGCAGUCGAUACGGGCAGGCUAGAGUCCGGCAGGGGAGACUGGAAUUCCUGGUGUAGCGGUGAAAUGCGCAGAUAUCAGGAGGAACACCGGUGGCGAAGGCGGGUCUCUGGGCCGAUACUGACGCUGAGGAGCGAAAGCGUGGGGAGCGAACAGG